GUAAGGACUUGGGGACCUGACAAACUUUUAGCAUUAUGACUCAACUGAAAAUUGCAACAACUUUCUCAGUGCUUAUUUGCAUAGUGUUUUGCUACUCUUAACUAAAUGACUGCAUGCAAAGUGCAACAUGGAUGAUGAUGUCAAACACAAGGUGAGUCAUAAAACCAAAUGAAUCAGGCAGGCAAAUGAGAUUAACCGAGUAUAGUGUCUUUCAAGACUCUUUGAGGAAGUACUACGGACCGCUCAUGUCAUGUUUCUAUGCGUUUGAAAUCCAAAACGCAGGCGGUGGCAGAAGAGUCACUGGAUGUGUGUAAUGAUUAGCGAGGACUAUAACUGGAAGGCUCAAACUACCUGGGACAGAUGCCAAAUGCUGACAAAGGCAAUCAUUGCAUUCUCGGGGCAAGCAAAAUCAACUCUUUUGUCCUCUUGCGCUUCUUUUGGGAGGGUUAUUUAUAACUCCUCGAGAAACCACCGAAUGCAUUGACUAAAUGCUUAAGGGGUCGGUCACAUGCUUUGGCUAAAUGGAAUAAAAAAUCAUUUUCUGUCUUUCACUUUGCAUCCUGUGCCAAAGUGGGCAGGGAGAAAGAGCUCGUGGUGAGGUGGGUGAAACGGAGGCCGCUGUACGUGCUCUUUCUUCAGCCACAACCCCGUGGAAGAGCAUGUUUGGUGGUAGCACGUUUCUAGGUCUCUCUCCCCGAGAUAGGCGUAGUAUGUGCAUAAGUCUACUCUUCUCGCCGCCAUGACCCUGCCUUGUGUUCUUUGAUGUUGAAGCCUCUAGUCUGCAGGAAUCCAGCGGUCUGCUGUCUGGCUGGUUGACAUCUGUUCUGCUGUCCUUGGGGCUGAGGUAGUAGAUUGAAUAGUUGUGGAGCCCUGCGCUCUCUCACUGAGAUAACUAUACAAUCUACUGUCUUUCCUAAGGCGACAGCCAAAUCAUCCACAAACAACAUGGACUCAUUUGAAAAAGUGUCUGCAGUCCUCCAGUGAGUUGGAAAGGAUAUUCACUCACAUUACAAAAGCAAAAUGGGCUGGUAUCGAUGAGUCAUGCUGACUUCAUGCAUACGCAAACGUGUCAGGCGAUGGGACUGUCCUUUGGUGUCCUGACAGGGUGAGGUAGUAGGUUGUAUAGUUUGGUGGGAGGGAUCAAACCCUGUUCAGGUGAUAACUAUACAGUCUAUUGCCUUCCUUGUUGUACCAGCUAUCUGUCUGCUAGUGGAAAUUCCCUGGAGUUUAAAUAUUGCUUAAACCCUUUGGCCUGCUUCACACCACAUGAACUUUGUAUAUGUAAGCGUAGUGUUUAUUUCGGCACCCAUAUAUACAAGUUACAUCAUUCACACUGCCUGCAUAAACAGAGCAGUGUAGCAUGAGUGAUACACUGAAGUUAGUCUGCAAAAAAAUACUUUACGAAGCAGCAAAGUAAUGGAGCAAACUCCCGAAAAAGCAUGCUUUAUUCAGUAAAUCUGAAACACGUUCUAUUCAGUAAAUCUGACUGAAUCAAGAAGAGUUAAGCAGUUUGAAAAGUUUGGGGUCAGUAAAAAAAUAAAUAAAUAAAAAGUUUGCAUUUAAAUAAUCAGAAACGAGAGUUAAGACUUUUAUAAUGUUACAAAAGAUUUCUAUCAUGAAUUAGAACUUUCUAUGUAUCUGAGAAUCCUGAAUCACAGGGCCUUAUCAUAUACCCGGCACAAUGUGGCACCAGGUGCGACGCAAGUGUAUUUUGCUAGUUUCAGCCAGACGUACUGUGUCAUUUUCACGUACUGUGUCACGUUGUUUAAAUAGCAAAUUUUAAGGCAACUGAAAUAGACUGCGCCAAUGACCAACAAAAACCUGGUCUAAAGUCUGGCGCAAUUUAUAUAUAUAUAUAUAUAUAUAUAUAUAUAUAUAUAUAUAUAUAUAUAUAUAUAUAUAUAUAUAUCACACAGAAUUACGCGCACGACCAGAUCCGUUCCCUCAUUAGAGAGGCAUUCAGCUUUUCUUUUGCAGAAUCCGCCAUGACGCGAGCGCAACUUGCUUUUAAAGGGAAUGUGAGAAGACUCUGAUUGGUUUAUGGCUCGUUAUGCCCAAAACACACCCAUUACUCUUUAAGAGAAUAGGAACCACCCUUUUAGACAAUGCGUCUGUCGCGCUGACCAUUUUUCCUGUCCUUAAACUAGAAAAAAUGGAUUCAGACACACCCUAAACUUAAUUGCACUGUGCGCUUUAGACCAAGUGUUUAGAUCAUUAAAAUAGGGUCCAUAUUAUACACCAAAAAAAAGACAAAAAAAAUAAAAGAAAAAUAAAAGUUUUGAACAAUUUUCACUCAGAAAUAGCUAGAAAAAUUUACAGUUAAUUACAAAGAAAAGACAAGUGACAUCCAAUUAAAGUGCAAUGUUGAAGAGGAAAGACUGAAAUAGAAUUUUCUUGUAAAAUGUACUCCAAUAAUCUUUGUUUUAUUUACAACUUUUUUUUCUCAGUGAUUGAUAAUAAUCAGAAAUGUUUCUUGAGCAACAGAUCAGCAUCUUAGAAUGAUUUCUGAAGGAUCAUGUGACACUGAAGACUGGAGUAAAGAUGCUGAAAAUCCAGCUUUGAAUCACAGAAAUAAAUUGCAUUUUACACUAUAUUUAUAUAUUUUGUUUUCAACUUUUUUUUAUUUAUUUUAUUUUAUUUUUUUUAUGCAAUAAAUGUGUCAUUGGUUAGCAUAAGAGACUUGAAUGAAUUUUUUCUAAAAUCUCACUGACUUUUGAAUGUUAGUGUAGAUUUAAUGAUGAUCAAGCCUGAAAUAGUUCUCACUCCACUAAACAUUUGAUAGGUUAUGGUCAUUCAUUAAAGGAAAUGCUUAGUGCAUUAAGAUAGAAAUCACCUCGUUGUACAGCACAACAAGACUGUUGCGGCUUUGUGUGUGUGUGUGUGUGUGUGUGUGUGUGUGUGUGUGUGUGUGUGUGUGCGUGUGUGUGUGUGUGUGUGUGUGAGCAUUGUGAAACCCGGCUUACACUUUACCUAACAAGCCUGAACAACAUCCAUUCCUCUGCUGCAAGCUUAACAUGCUGAUCUGGUACAUGAAGAGAAAAAUCAGAUUAAAAGAGAUUUACUAAGCUCAGAUUUAUGGCUUAAUCAAUAAUUUAGCAUUUCUGUUGGCUUGUGAUCAAACAGGAUUUUCACACAUCAUAACAGGAAAUUCAUUUUCAGUCAGACAAUGCAUGUGGCCUUGUUCAGAGAAUGAAACACACACACACACACACACACACACACACACACACACACACACACACACACACACACACACACAUAUAUAUAUACAUACAUAUAAAACAGCACAAUAAAUCAUAAUGUGUUUUUGUUCUAUGAAUAAAAUACAGUUUUAUUUAAUACUCUUUUGCCUUUUUGAUUUUAUUUUAAUUUAAGUUAAUUUUGAGCAGUUUAUACAUUUAUAAACAGUUAUCUUGUGGAAAGAAGGUCUUGCUUGGAAAAAGUUAGAGAUUAAAACAGUUUGUGCUGCUGUAUGUAUUCCUUUGUUGUGCAAUCUUUAUAAAAUCACAUAAAACAAACAAAUUUAAUAAACACAUAAUUUUGUAGGCAUGUAGUUUAAGGAGCUGUUGCAUAAAGGAUCAGAGCUUUAGAAAAUAUGAUUUUAUUAGUGAAAAUUAUAUUUGCCAAUAAAAUAACUUGUGAGAGAAUUCUUUGAUAUUUACAGUAAACUUUGAAAGUGUAGAUCUCAAAACAGACUAGACUGUAGUAUGACAGUAUCUAGUUUGGAAACAAGCUGACAUACCACCAAUUAUGACCGAAAUUUUAUAUAAUACAUCUUAAUAUAUAACAUUUUAUUUUUAUAGAACACAGUAUAUACAUAAUAAAUUGUAUACAACAAGGGUAUGUCAAUACUGUGAAGCUAAUUCAAGCAAAACUCUUCCAUCAACACUCUAAUACAGUUAGUCAUAUACUAUAUUUGAUAGCUUGUUACCAUAAACAUCCAUCAAGUUUUAUUUUUAUUUUUUCCACAAAGUUGGUUGGCAACAAAUGUAACUGUGUAUAAAUAUGAACAUGUAAACAAAACCUGUCAAGUUAGACUUUGAUCUACAGCCUUUAUCUGAACACAUGAACCAUGUCAACAAAAUUACAGUAGCAUCCAGUGACACUAACCACACAAUCAAGUAUGAAGUUUAGAGAGAAACUUGUUUAAAUGAAGAAAAAAAAAUGAAACUCUCUGCAGUCAAAUAUUUGGGAAUAUUUUAAUGGUCACUAUGAGGUAACAGUUGUAAUUGCGGUAUUAGCUCUUUUUUUGCCCUUUCCAUUAUAAGGUAGUCAGCCUCAUUCGAGUUUUCAAAUCAACAAUUGAGAGUCUUCUCGUUGAAUUUACAAUAAAAUAAAAAAUAAAUUAAAUAAAAUCAACAACAACAAAAAACUAAUAAAAAUCAAAUGUGAUUCUUCACAGUGACUUCUGGGAAUCUCCUGUUACUAUUUUACACCAUUUAAUUAUUUUACCAUGGAAAGGGCAUUUAUUGUAUUGCAAAAUAUUAUAAAAUAUAGAUUUUCUCAGUAGAUGUUAAGGCCAUGCUUUUACAGUAUCCAUACAUACAGUAUUCUGCCAAAAAAAAAAAAAGGGCAGUUAGCUAGGUCAAUUAUGAUUGUUCAGCAUCUUUGUAUUGCAUUAUAUUAUAUGUUUUGCAUUAAAUAAAUACUACAGAGCUAUGAACCAUAAAAGCCUGAUGUAUCGGACUAGUUUUCUGACUAUUAGUUCUCAUGUCGCUUUACAGAGUUUAUAUGUUUCACUAGCAUGCCUGCUCUCUGUUUCUUUUAGGACGAAUAGCCGUUUUUAAGCAUUUGGCUCCAUCUAGUGGCCAUACAGCUUCACAGUCCCUGAAGACUGAAGCUUUUCAGAAGCUUUUCAUGUGGAUAUUGUAGAAUAUGUACAGUAUCAGUCUCCAACAUACAGUCACUAAAAGAUCCAUUCAGAAUCGUAUUACAGUGAAAUUAUGGUUUUAGUUUAUCUGCCUGAUUCAUGUGCCGGUGUUAGAGGGUGAUGUAGUUUGAUGGCCGGUAUUAGGUUCUCCAGGCUGGGAUCUCCAUGAGGAGCUUGAGAAGUCUCUUUGUCCUCUCAAGCACUGUACAACUCCAGAUCUCCAGGUAAGCCUCCCUGAUCUUUGUGAUACGGAGUGCGUAGACUACAGGGUUCACCGGUGUGUUGGCAUGAGAGAGGAGUAUUCCUGCGUGGAAAAUGAUCUGGGGGACGCCUUGAGGACCCUCUGAAAGUAGUACACAAUUCAUGAGAUGCAGAGGCAUCCAACAUGCUGCAAACAGUAGGAGAACCAGAGCCAGAAAACAUGCCAGCCUCUUCUCCUUGAUUAGAAAAGCCCUUCAUUUAGAUUCGGCAGGUGCAGAAGUCUAGUCAUGCCUCCGGAGGCGUUUGCGCAGACUGUAGAAAACAAGAGCGUAAAGAAGAUUCAUGGCUGCCAAGGGGAGUAGGAUGUAGCACAAGUAGUUGAAGUAGACCAUAUAAGGCAGGGAGAUGACAGCUAAGAAGGCGCAGUUGAUAUAGGAAGAGUUAAGGAGUAGGGAGGACUGGGGAUCAUCAUUAUGCCAACCAAAAAUAGGGGUGAAACCCAGCAGACAAGAUACCAUGCAACACAGGACCACCACAGUCUCUUUAUACCUGCAAUCACAGAGCAUGUUAACUGUUGGUUAAUUGGACGGCUGGACCUACCUUUGUCAAAAAGAAGUAACAAAGUUUUAACUGUGUUGCCGUCUUCCAGGCCAGCAGCAUGAGACUCAGUCCAGCUGCUCUGCUCGUGCACAUCCCAUCAUCGGUUCUCUUUUAGCAGUUCAGUUAAUGUACUGUUAGCAGUAACUGAAUAACUCGGGAUAUUGGUUUAUGUCAUGUCAAAGGGAGUGAAAGGCACAGAUCUUAUUUAUGCACCAAGAGCUCAUAGCACUCCAAAGAGAAAAUAAAAAUUUAAAUCGCAUCAUAUGACCCCUUUAAUACCAGGCCGGAUACCUGAUUCUGUGUUUUAUUUUGUCAAUUAUUAUGUGUUUCUCAUUGAGCUCUGGAUGUAGGAAAAGCAUCUGUUGCAUGUCAGUUGGGAAUAUAGUCAACAAGUGGCAUAUUAUUUAGAUAAAUGUAGUAAGUGUGAGAACACUAUUUAUGGAGCAUACAAGACGAAUAAAAACAGGACAUGAGCUCCAAAAGAUCACUGUAUGUCAUGAAAACUAGAAACAGAGAAAUUAAAAUGUUUGUAUUAAAAAGAAUCAAUGAUUAAAACGUUUCAAUGAGACAUCUGCAGU
Molecule: long non-coding RNA, 6249 nt
Organism: Cyprinus carpio carpio
Lineage: Eukaryota; Metazoa; Chordata; Actinopteri; Cypriniformes; Cyprinidae
Source: Ensembl